GUGCCUACUGAGCUGAUAUC
Molecule: microRNA, 20 nt
Filed under: Tursiops truncatus (common bottlenose dolphin)
Lineage: Eukaryota; Metazoa; Chordata; Mammalia; Artiodactyla; Delphinidae
Also listed under: 1 other name
Description: miR-24-5p
Source: RNAcentral